UACGUAGGCAGCAAGCGUUGUUCGGAAUUAUUGGGCGUAAAGAGCUCGUAGGCGGUUCGUCGCGUCGGCUGUGAAAACCCGGAGCUCAACUCCGGGCCUGCAGUCGAUACGGGCGGACUUGAGUGUUGCAGGGGAGACUGGAAUUCCUGGUGUAGCGGUGAAAUGCGCAGAUAUCAGGAGGAACACCGGUGGCGAAGGCGGGUCUCUGGGCAACUACUGACGCUGAGGAGCGAAAGCGUGGGGAGCGAACAGG
RNAcentral lists this ribosomal RNA (253 nucleotides) under uncultured bacterium. RNAcentral's name for it is "partial 16S ribosomal RNA". It matches the Rfam family "Bacterial small subunit ribosomal RNA", at positions 524 to 776 of the family's 1533-position model. The record is from RNAcentral.